Molecule: transfer RNA, 21 nt
Filed under: Iguana insularis (Southern Antillean horned iguana)
Lineage: Eukaryota; Metazoa; Chordata; Lepidosauria; Squamata; Iguanidae
Description: partial tRNA-Ser
Source: RNAcentral
GAGAGGUGUUUAGAACACUAA